Molecule: ribosomal RNA, 490 nt
Filed under: uncultured bacterium
Lineage: Bacteria
Description: bacterial SSU rRNA
Rfam family: Bacterial small subunit ribosomal RNA
Source: RNAcentral
AUUGAACGCUGGCGGCAUGCCUUACACAUGCAAGUCGAACGGUAACAGGUCUUCGGAUGCUGACGAGUGGCGAACGGGUGAGUAAUACAUCGGAACGUGCCCGAUCGUGGGGGAUAACGCAGCGAAAGCUGUGCUAAUACCGCAUACGAUCUACGGAUGAAAGCGGGGGAUCGCAAGACCUCGCGCGGACGGAGCGGCCGAUGGCAGAUUAGGUAGUUGGUGGGAUAAAAGCUUACCAAGCCGACGAUCUGUAGCUGGUCUGAGAGGACGACCAGCCACACUGGGACUGAGACACGGCCCAGACUCCUACGGGAGGCAGCAGUGGGGAAUUUUGGACAAUGGGCGCAAGCCUGAUCCAGCCAUGCCGCGUGCAGGAUGAAGGCCUUCGGGUUGUAAACUGCUUUUGUACGGAACGAAAAGCUCUCUCUAAUACAGGGGUGAAUGACGGUACCGUAAGAAUAAGCACCGGCUAACUACGUGCCAGCAGCCG